AUUGAAUCGAGGGCGUAGGGAAGAAUAAGAAAUUUUUGGUGCGAUCCACCGUCAUCAUCCCUGUACGGCCGUGGGGCGGGCGGGCGGACGGCUAAACCGAGAACCGGCAUGGUGCGCCGCCGCCCCGCAAAUCGACCUCUCGUCUCGCUCCCCUCCAGCUUCGUGGCGUGCCCUCCCCGAUCCCCUUUGGCCUCGCCCCCGCAGUUUCCCCCCAUCUCGCCGCAGAUUUUGUUAAUUUUCGCCUGCUUUUUGAUCCGCCUCACCUUGUCGCGCAGGCGGGCACCCCGUCCCCCUCCUGCUCCGGCGGUUGGAUUUACUCCGGCCAUCCUCAGGAGGUAAAUUGUAUGGUCGAUUCGAUCGAUUGUGCCGAAAUAUCCCAACAACUGCUCACGGUAAUUAAGCCGAUUACGUGAUUGUUACUACCCCACGAAUGUCACAAUCUUACUAUAUAUGUUACGAUUUCUUAUCUGUUGCUUGCAACCAUGAGUAAUUUUCGCUAGCCUGUAAGAGAACAAUAUUUCUUGCAGAAUAUCCUGUGACAAUGCAGAAGUUUCUUACAAAUCAGUUGAUGGACCCUGAGUUCCUCUCGACA
This is a non-coding RNA of Oryza sativa Japonica Group (Japanese rice), 592 nucleotides long. The record is from RefSeq and is a predicted model, not a curated record. NCBI's taxonomy places the organism in Eukaryota, Viridiplantae, Streptophyta, Magnoliopsida, Poales, Poaceae.